UAGACAAAAACUCGCUGGUUGGAGUGAUUAGCUGUUAACUAAUUGUUUAUGGGAUCAAGGCCCAUUUGUCUAG
RNAcentral lists this transfer RNA (73 nucleotides) under Gavialis gangeticus (Gharial). RNAcentral describes it as "transfer RNA-Asn". Lineage: Eukaryota; Metazoa; Chordata; Crocodylia; Gavialidae. The record is from RNAcentral.